AGUGAACGCUGGCGGUAGGCCUAACACAUGCAAGUCGAACGGCAGCACAGUAAGAGCUUGCUCUUACGGGUGGCGAGUGGCGGACGGGUGAGGAAUACAUCGGAAUCUACUUUUUCGUAGGGGCUAACGUAGGGAAACUUACGCUAAUACCGCAUACGCCCUACGGGUGAAAGCAGGGGAUCUUCGGACCUUGCGCGAUUGAAUGAGCCGAUGUCGGAUUAGCUAGUUGGCGGGGUAAAGGCCCACCAAGGCGACGAUCCGUAGCUGGUCUGAGAGGAUGGUCGGCCACACUGGAACUGGGACACGGACCAGACUCCUGCGGGAGGGAGCAGUGGGGAAUAUUGGACAAUGGGCGCAAGCCUGAUCCAGCCAUACCGCGUGGGUGGAGAAGGCGUUCGGGUUGUAAAGCCCUUUUGUUGGGAAAGAAAAGCAGCAGGUUAAUACCCCGCUGGUCUGACGGUACCCAAAGAAGAAGCACCGGCUAACUUCGUG
This 492-nucleotide ribosomal RNA is filed under the name uncultured bacterium. RNAcentral's name for it is "partial 16S ribosomal RNA". It matches the Rfam family "Bacterial small subunit ribosomal RNA", at positions 29 to 507 of the family's 1533-position model. The record is from RNAcentral.